AUGGCUCCUAUCCGAUGCGACGGCAUUGAUCUACCACAAGUUCAGCAAAAUUUUGGAGGACAGAUUGUCAGUUUCCCCAUUACAUACCUGGGCAUCCCAAUUACACUUGGUAGAAUUAGACUAGUUCAUCUCCAAUACAUCUUGGAUAGAAUCAGAGCUCGACUAACGGGUUGGAAGGGACACUUGCUGCCUAUUGCAGGCCGGCGAGUGCUUGUCACGAGCGUGCUCUCAGCGCUCCCUGCGUUCGCGCUCGCCGUGCUGCGCGUGCCGUGAAGAUUUUUCAAGGAUAUCGACAAGACAUGAAGAAGAUUCCUUUGGGCGCAUGAGGAGGAGAUGUCAGGGGGAAAGUGCAAGGUUGGAUGGUCGGUCGUUACAUCGCCAGUGAACCGCGGUGGCCUUGGCAACCCUGACCUCGAGCGGUUCGCGCGCGCGCUCAGGCUGUGCUGGCUCUGGCUGUCCUGGAAGCACCCGGACAGGCCAUGGGCGGGGCUCGGCACGCCAUGCGAUGAAAAGGACCAAGCUCUCUUUGCCUCUGCCACCUCGGUCACCGUCCGGAGCGGCGCAACAGCCUCUUUCUGGCGCUGCCACUUGCUAGGGGAGCGGCCUCUCUGUCUUGCAUAUCCGGUUCUAUUCAAGCACUUUUCUCGGAAAAACAGGACGGUCAUGGUUGCGCUGCAACGGGAGAAGUGGAUUCAAGACCUGCGGCACGGCAACCUCGUUGACAUCCUUCCAUAG
This 735-nucleotide ribosomal RNA is filed under the name Triticum aestivum (bread wheat). RNAcentral's name for it is "partial small subunit ribosomal RNA". Lineage: Eukaryota; Viridiplantae; Streptophyta; Magnoliopsida; Poales; Poaceae. The record is from RNAcentral.